Long non-coding RNA from Vicia villosa (hairy vetch), 1254 nucleotides. RefSeq lists it as uncharacterized. Lineage: Eukaryota; Viridiplantae; Streptophyta; Magnoliopsida; Fabales; Fabaceae. The record is from RefSeq and is a predicted model, not a curated record. The transcript is spliced from 10 exons.
CAAAAAUCCACCGUCCGUUAAUAACCGACCGACCCAUACUACCCGAUUGCUUUCGGUCGGGUCAAUUUCGGGUUCACGGGUCAAACGGAUUGGCCAUUCGGUUUUAAGUGGAUAGAAGCGGUUCGGUUCGGAUGGAAAUAUUGGACCCAUCGGUCACCGAACCCGACCGAAUCCAAUUAAUAUACUCCUAUAUUAUCAUACUUUACUCGUUUUCCUUCUCUCACUCUCUCAUAUCUAUUCAUUCUCACUAUCAACACACAAAAACCCUAAUUUUUUUCUCUCACUCUCUCACUCGUAUUCCUCCUUCUCUUCUCCGCCGCCGUGUCAAUCUUCAUUCAUCCUUCAUUGUUUCACCUUUACCUCCUUCUCUUAUCAUAACCGCACCACCUGUUUACCUUCAUAGUCUUCUCAUACUAAUGUUGUCUUCAUAAAUUGUUUAUUUUCAGGUGUUGAAGUGAUUUAAAGCUACGAGAGGUGGUUAUACUAUUCUGAUGAAAAGAAAUCUUACAAAAGAUUCAUUUAGAUCUGUUUUGGAUGGGUUCAACUAAGGUUCAACUAAGGUUCAAGUUUCACUAAGAUUCAUUUAGAUCUGUUUUGGAUGGGUUCAACUAAGGUUCAAGAUUCACUAAGGUUCAACUAAGUGAUGGGUGCUUGGCUGACUUGAAGCUAUCAUAUGUGGUUCUACUUUGAUGAAGUUAAUCUUACAAAAGUUGUGCUUUGAUUUUGAGAUUCCACAGAGUGAUGUAGUGAAGGUGUAGUGAAGGUGAUUCUUCUUUCAAGCAUAUCUCCAAAGUUUCCUGAAAUUAUAGAUUUUGAAAAGGCUGGGUUGCAAGAAGAAAGAUUUCCUGGUUGAGAGCUACACUUUAUUCUAGUAAAUCUAACUUUUAUACAAGGGUUCUGUUUAUUGUGAUUUUGAUGGUUCAAGUGAUUUGUGUUUCAACCAACAGGGGGUCUAAAAGCCUAAAGUUGUUACCUUUGAGCAUUUCAUAUUUAUAUUGUUGAAAAAUAUAAUAUCUUUAAGCAUGUCCUCAAACUGAAACUGAAGAAAUCAUCACAAAUAUUUUCUAUGAUUGUGUUGUUCAGGUAUAACAUAAAUAUAAUAGUAUCUCAAAAAUGACAGGAGGAAGUAUGGACAUAUCACAUUUUAUGUCACAGAAGGAUAGAUAUUCAAUUUAAAUGUUUAUUUAAGUUGUAAUAAUAAUAUAUGUGAAACACUUUAUAUUGUGUUUUUACUAUAUUUUUUAAUGUUUUAAU